UACGUAGGGUGCGAGCGUUGUCCGGAAUUAUUGGGCGUAAAGAGCUCGUAGGCGGCUUGUCGCGUCGGAUGUGAAAGCCCGGGGCUUAACUCCGGGUCUGCAUUCGAUACGGGCAGGCUAGAGUUCGGUAGGGGAGAUCGGAAUUCCUGGUGUAGCGGUGGAAAUGACGCAGAUAUCAGGAGGAACACCGGUGGCGAAGGCGGAUCUCUGGGCCGAUACUGACGCUGAGGAGCGAAAGCGUGGGGAGCGAACAGG
Molecule: ribosomal RNA, 255 nt
Filed under: uncultured bacterium
Lineage: Bacteria
Description: partial 16S ribosomal RNA
Rfam family: Bacterial small subunit ribosomal RNA
Source: RNAcentral